AGCUUUAUAGUCAAUAUAAUGAUUUAAAAUUGCAAAUUUUAAGUAAUAAUAAAUUAAAUUAUUAAGGCUU
RNAcentral lists this transfer RNA (70 nucleotides) under Epicopeia hainesii. RNAcentral's name for it is "tRNA-Cys". The record is from RNAcentral. Lineage: Eukaryota; Metazoa; Arthropoda; Insecta; Lepidoptera; Epicopeiidae.